Clostridium sp. C105KSO13 is the source of this 199-nucleotide non-coding RNA. NCBI's taxonomy places the organism in Bacteria, Bacillati, Bacillota, Clostridia, Eubacteriales, Clostridiaceae. The record is from Rfam.
UACAACUGAUAUGAUAUUGCUCAAAUGAGUGGGUAACGCCACGAAGGGGCACACGUAAACUGCCUAUGGCGUGAGUAGUUGUGUAAGGCGAAAGGGUCAUAAAGCUAGGCUGGAGAGCAAAAAGCCAACCCAAACAGGUAAAGCUGUGGAAAGGUUUGUAGAGGUACAGGCUGUUGGUGAUUAUGUAGUGGGCUGUAUA